GACGAACCGUGCGAACGUUGUUCGGAAUCACUGGGCGUAAAGGGCGCGUAGGCGGGCCGUAAAGUCAGGGGUGAAAUCCUCCAGCUUAACUGGAGAACUGCCUUUGAUACUGACGGUCUCGAGUGAGGUAGGGGCGUGUGGAACUGAUGGUGGAGCGGUGAAAUGUGUUGAUAUCAUCAGGAACUCCGGUGGCGAAAGCGACACGCUGGACCUCUACUGACGCUGAGGCGCGAAAGCCAGGGGAGCAAACGGG
RNAcentral lists this ribosomal RNA (253 nucleotides) under uncultured bacterium. RNAcentral's name for it is "partial 16S ribosomal RNA". It matches the Rfam family "Bacterial small subunit ribosomal RNA", at positions 524 to 776 of the family's 1533-position model. The record is from RNAcentral.